This 72-nucleotide transfer RNA is filed under the name Podospora didyma. RNAcentral's name for it is "tRNA-Gln". It matches the Rfam family "tRNA". From Rfam's summary of the family: Transfer RNA (tRNA) molecules are approximately 80 nucleotides in length. Their secondary structure includes four short double-helical elements and three loops (D, anti-codon, and T loops). Lineage: Eukaryota; Fungi; Ascomycota; Sordariomycetes; Sordariales; Podosporaceae. The record is from RNAcentral. RNAcentral also lists the same sequence under 2 other names.
GGUUCUAUAGUGUAGCGGUCAUCACAUCGGAUUCUGAUUCCGGGAACCCCGGUUCGAUUCCGGGUAGGACCU